CAGUAGCCGCGGGAAUACAGAGGGUGCGAGCGUUAAUCGGAUUUACUGGGCGUAAAGCGUGCGUAGGCGGCUUUUUAAGUCGGAUGUGAAAUCCCUGAGCUUAACUUAGGAAUUGCAUUCGAUACUGGGAAGCUAGAGUAUGGGAGAGGAUGGUAGAAUUCCAGGUGUAGCGGUGAAAUGCGUAGAGAUCUGGAGGAAUACCGAUGGCGAAGGCAGCCAUCUGGCCUAAUACUGACGCUGAGGUACGAAAGCAUGGGGAGCAAACAGGAUUAGAUACCCCUGUAGUCCCUGUCUCUUAUAU
This 301-nucleotide ribosomal RNA is filed under the name uncultured bacterium. RNAcentral's name for it is "partial 16S ribosomal RNA". It matches the Rfam family "Bacterial small subunit ribosomal RNA", at positions 509 to 809 of the family's 1533-position model. The record is from RNAcentral.